UAGCGGAGGAAAAGAAACCAACAGGGAUUGCCCUAGUAACGGCGAGUGAAGCGGCAACAGCUCAAAUUUGAAAUCUGGCUUCGGCCCGAGUUGUAAUUUGCAGAGGAAGCUUUAGGCGCGGCACCUUCUGAGUCCCCUGGAACGGGGCGCCAUAGAGGGUGAGAGCCCCGUAUAGUUGGAUGCCUAGCCUGUGUAAAGCUCCUUCGACGAGUCGAGUAGUUUGGGAAUGCUGCUCAAAAUGGGAGGUAAAUUUCUUCUAAAGCUAAAUACCGGCCAGAGACCGAUAGCGCACAAGUAGAGUGAUCGAAAGAUGAAAAGCACUUUGAAAAGAGGGUUAAAUAGCACGUGAAAUUGUUGAAAGGGAAGCGCUUGUGACCAGACUUGCGCCGGGCGGAUCAUCCGGUGUUCUCACCGGUGCACUCCGCCCGGCUCAGGCCAGCAUCGGUUCUCGCGGGGGGAUAAAGGUCCUGGGAACGUAGCUCCUCCGGGAGUGUUAUAGCCCGGGGCGUAAUGCCCUCGCGGGGACCGAGGUUCGCGCAUCUGCAAGGAUGCGCUAGACGAGACU
This 565-nucleotide ribosomal RNA is filed under the name Chaetomium globosum. Its description in RNAcentral is "eukaryotic LSU rRNA". It matches the Rfam family "Eukaryotic large subunit ribosomal RNA", at positions 48 to 627 of the family's 3401-position model. Lineage: Eukaryota; Fungi; Ascomycota; Sordariomycetes; Sordariales; Chaetomiaceae. The record is from RNAcentral.